AUCCAGCUGACGAAUCCCAAAUAGGACGAAAUGUGCAUCCUGGAU
This 45-nucleotide non-coding RNA is filed under the name Trichobilharzia regenti. Lineage: Eukaryota; Metazoa; Platyhelminthes; Trematoda; Strigeidida; Schistosomatidae. The record is from RNAcentral.